AUGAGUGGCAAACCUGCUGCCCGAGUUACAGAUCCCACCAAUUGUCCGCUUCCGGGACAUGGCACGAAUCCGAUUGCCAGUGGCUCCCCCAAUGUGAAUUUCGACGGCCUUGCCGCCGCUCGCAUGACCGAUAAAUCCGCAGCCCGAUCACCGGUGCCGUCAGCUCUACGGUUCUCAUCAAUGGGCUGAAUGCCGCUACUCAAGGCAGUUCAGGUGGCCACGGAAACGUGGUUAUAGGUGGAUCCGGCACGGUCAUUAUUGGCGACACCUUCGUACCAGCCCCCUUCAGCGGCCUUCUGCCGAUGCCAGUGCAUUUCAGCGACAAGUUCAGACUAGUUGACCAAGACUCGGGCGAGCCUCUACCCAAUCUUAAUUACGCCAUCCAGCGCGCUGACGGCAGCAUGGAACACGGUGUAAGUGAUCCGAUGGGGUAUACGCAUGUAGUGAGUUCGCACCUGUCCGAAACAAUCAAACUGUUUCUGGAGGACUAA
RNAcentral lists this unclassified non-coding RNA (491 nucleotides) under Pseudomonas lini. RNAcentral describes it as "Pseudomonas sRNA P10". The stretch from base 24 to 95 matches the Rfam family "Pseudomonas sRNA P10". Lineage: Bacteria; Pseudomonadati; Pseudomonadota; Gammaproteobacteria; Pseudomonadales; Pseudomonadaceae. The record is from RNAcentral.